This 429-nucleotide ribosomal RNA is filed under the name Bacteroidota bacterium. RNAcentral describes it as "Bacteroidetes bacterium partial 16S ribosomal RNA". It matches the Rfam family "Bacterial small subunit ribosomal RNA", at positions 355 to 776 of the family's 1533-position model. Lineage: Bacteria; Pseudomonadati; Bacteroidota. The record is from RNAcentral.
UAGGGAAUCUUCCGCAAUGGACGCAAGUCUGACGGAGCAACGCCGCGUGAGUGAAGAAGGAUUUCGGUUCGUAAAACUCUGUUGUUAGAGAAGAACAGCGCAUAGAGUAACUGUUAUGCGUGUGACGGUAUCUAACCAGAAAGCCACGGCUAACUACGUGCCAGCAGCCGCGGUAAUACGUAGGUGGCAAGCGUUGUUCGGAUUUAUUGGGCGUAAAGCGAGCGCAGGCGGUCAAGUAAGUCUGAUGUGAAAGCCCCCGGCUCAACCAGGGAGGGUCAUUGGAAACUGGUUGACUUGAGUGCAGAAGAGGAGAGAGGAAUUCCAUAUGUAGCGAUGAAAUGCGUAGAUAUAUGGAGGAACACCAGUAGCGAAGGCGACUCUCUGGUCUGUAACUGACGCGGAGGCUCGAAAGCGUGGGUAGCAAACAGG